GAUGAACGCUGGCGGCGUGCCUAAUACAUGCAAGUCGAGCGAACAGACGAGGAGCUUGCUCCUCUGACGUUAGCGGCGGACGGGUGAGUAACACGUGGAUGACCUACCUAUAAGACUGGGAUAACUUCGGGAAACCGGAGCUAAUACCGGAUAAUAUAUUGAACCGCAUGGUUCAAUAGUGAAAGACGGUUUUGCUGUCACUUAUAGAUGGAUCCGCGCCGCAUUAUCUAGUUGGUAAGGUAACGGCUUACCAAGGCAACGAUGCGUAGCCGACCUGAGAGGGUGAUCGGCCACACUGGAACUGAGACACGGUCCAGACUCCUACGGGAGGCAGCAGUAGGGAAUCUUCCGCAAUGGGCGAAAGCCUGACGGAGCAACGCCGCGUGAGUGAUGAAGGUCUUCGGAUCGUAAAACUCUGUUAUUAGGGAAGAACAAAUGUGUAAGUAACUAUGCACGUCUUGACGGUACCUAAUCAGAAAGCCACGGCUAACUACGUG
This 497-nucleotide ribosomal RNA is filed under the name uncultured bacterium. Its description in RNAcentral is "partial 16S ribosomal RNA". It matches the Rfam family "Bacterial small subunit ribosomal RNA", at positions 28 to 507 of the family's 1533-position model. The record is from RNAcentral.